AUCUUUAUAAUUUUACUAACAAAUCCACCUUCAAUUAAUUUUUCAUUUUAAUAUCCAUUUAAAUAAAUUUAUUGUAACUCAUCACUCCUUAAAUAUAAGCUACACCUUGAUCUGAAAUAAAUUUUUACAAAUUCAAGAAAAUUUUUAUUCUUUUAAAAUAUUCUGAUAACGACGGUAUAUAAACUGAAACACAAAUUCAAGUAAGGUCCAACGCGGAUUAUCAAUUAUAGGACAAGUUCCUCUGAAUAGAAUAAAAUACCGCCAAAUUUUUUAAGUUUCAAGAUUUUAUCUAUUAC
This 296-nucleotide ribosomal RNA is filed under the name Diasemopsis longipedunculata. RNAcentral's name for it is "partial 12S ribosomal RNA". Lineage: Eukaryota; Metazoa; Arthropoda; Insecta; Diptera; Diopsidae. The record is from RNAcentral.